Molecule: unclassified non-coding RNA, 1729 nt
Filed under: Cimex lectularius (bed bug)
Lineage: Eukaryota; Metazoa; Arthropoda; Insecta; Hemiptera; Cimicidae
Description: alpha-L-iduronidase, transcript variant X1
Source: RNAcentral
GACCGCGAUUGACCGCGGCCGGCCUAAUCCGAUAAGUGAUUUUCCUCUAAUGUACAGAUUAAAAUAGCUGCCAAGGUUAAUUGACCGUUUGACCAGGAUGAUCACUUCAAUUUUGUCUUGGGUUUUGGCACUGGAAUUGAGCACAUUCUCUGCUAUAAAUGGGCAUGAUAUAACAAAAGGAAAAGUUUAUAUAAACUUAAAUUCUUCAGCAUACUACAUGGGUCAUUUUUGGCAUAAUAGCGGUUUGAGCCCUCCUAACUCUGAACCUGACACUGUCCGAAACUAUCUACUUUCCUCUGAUAUGAAGAAAAACUUAAUGUAUAUUUCUGGACUUCCUACAGGAGCUAUAAAAUAUGAACGUAUACAUUGGUUGUUCAGUCUUGUCUCUUUCGAUGUUGAAACAACAAGUUUCAACUUUACACUACUCGAUGAACUGAUGGACUGGAUGAAAACGUUAGACUUACUUCCGAUAUUUGAGAUGAUGGGCACCCCGGUUAAUAGUGAACAGUUUUUAAAAUUGAAUAAGCCAUGGAAACAUUUGUGUUACAAUACAGUUAAACAUUAUUGUGAACGAUUUGGGUUAAACUACGUUCAAAAAUGGAAGUUUGAAUUCUGGAAUGAAAUCGACUCAAAACAAUAUAAUGUUUUUGGUUUUAGUAUUGUAGAGUAUCUGAAUUAUAUUAAGGAAUGUACAGUUGGAAUUCACAAAGUAUCAAAAUCAUUUACUGUAAUGGGACCUGCAGGAGUUUUAAAACCAUGGACAAAUUAUUCAGCCAGUUUCUUGAAGUUUUGCCAUGAAAAACAAACUCUUUGCAAUUUAACUUAUAUCACUUACCAUCAAAAAGGUUACCCCAUGUACAUAAAAGAUGGAGCAAUUAAAUAUAGAAAUAAUUUAAACAAAUUGUAUCCUAAAUUUGCUGGAUUACAGAUGGCUAAUGAUGAAGCUGAUACUAUGACUGGAUGGUGGAAAGCUACACCUUGGAGAGAAGAUGUAAGAUACGCAUCCAAAAUGGGUAGAAUGGUGUAUCUGUUGUAUAAAUCCGCCUGGAAGGCUGAUAUAAAUUUUACCUCUUUUGAUAACUCCUUUCUGAAUCAAGAGCCUUUUACUUUUGAACAAAGAACGCUUUUGGCAAGGUUUACCAUUAAUCAUGAUACUAGCCAUCAUCAAUUUUUUGAAAAGCCCAGCUACAGUGUAAUGGGCCUGAUGCAAAUGCUGGGUGAUUACGUUAUAACAGCUCGACGACAUCGUAUCAACAAAAAUGUAACAUAUGUAUUUACAUCAGUAUCCAAAAAUGCCCCUUCGAGGAUCUCAGGAAUCAUUGUAGGAACAAAUGAUUUUGAUAUGAAUGAGGAUAAAAGUACAGCGAUUCUAUUUAAAUUUAAUGUCCCAGAGACAUGGAAAAAUGAAGUGAAAUAUGCUGUCUAUAUGAUCAGUAAUCUUUUGCCACAUCCAGCUAAGACUUUUCAUGACUUAAAUAAUCCUUCUUCACCUUCUGCCUAUCAAAGGAAAUUGAUUAGAAACUCACAAGCAAGGUCCACAUCUUAUAUCUCAAGGUAUAGCAAAGGGGCAAAUAAAUCUCUCUCUUAAUAUCAGCAACCCGUCAGUGACUUUAAUAAAUAUGUGUCAUAUAACAUCACAAGGGCCAAUCAAGGUUACAAAUUUGCUGGCAAUAAAUAUUACAUUCAAUGAAGUCUUGUUGAUUUGGAAAGACAACGACAAUGUCAACAG